Molecule: long non-coding RNA, 703 nt
Filed under: Homo sapiens (human)
Lineage: Eukaryota; Metazoa; Chordata; Mammalia; Primates; Hominidae
Description: non-protein coding lnc-ASB13-5:1
Source: RNAcentral
UCCUCUGUAGGAAAGUGCUGGGUAAAAUGCCUCUCACUGAUUGGCCUCGCUGCGCUGGUAUGGCUCCCUCCCUGGACAAUGGUGCGUCUUCUAGGUCUGGCUCUGGGCCCUUUAUUCGGAAAAACGAGCGUAAGACUGGCUCUGAGAACAAAGCUGGACAGCUUGCUCAUCUUUCGAGCAGCUGUGCCGUGGAGAGAUGAAGGUGGGGCGCACAGGGCCCUGGCAGGGGCUGUGCCCCCUGUAAUGGCUGAGAAAAUAUUUCCAGACCCUGGAGUCUUUGCCUUUUCUCUUUUCUCCACAUUAGCACCACAUGACAGUGACAGCGAGGCCUCAGUGAUUUUGGCUUGAAGGUCUUGUGAUCUCCGACAAGUUGAAUGAAAAGAUGUCUUAAAUUGGUCCAAUCUAAAGAGUGCCUCCUUUUUCUCCAAACCAUGAAAAAAGGCAGAAAAGAUGGAUGAUAGGCCUCUCUGCCUGUCUCUGUCUCUCUCUCUCUCACGCACCUGUGUACACAUUUAUUCGUUCAAAUACAAUUUCACUCUAGCAUCUAGGCAAAAACAACUCAUCAACCUUUUGAAAGCAACAGCUGAGUCACUAAUACCAUUAGCAACCAGAAUUUGCACUUUCGGUGUGCCGGCAUUCUUCUGAGUGUUUUACCUAGAGUCACUGACUCAAUUCUCACUGAAACCCUAGGAGGGAGGCAGUG